GCUAGCGUGGCAGAGCUUGGCAAAUGCAAAAGGCUUAAACCCUUUACCCAGAGGUUCAAAUCCCUCUCCCCUAGCU
Molecule: transfer RNA, 76 nt
Filed under: Pavo cristatus (Indian peafowl)
Lineage: Eukaryota; Metazoa; Chordata; Aves; Galliformes; Phasianidae
Description: tRNA-Leu
Rfam family: tRNA (bases 7-68)
About the family: Transfer RNA (tRNA) molecules are approximately 80 nucleotides in length. Their secondary structure includes four short double-helical elements and three loops (D, anti-codon, and T loops).
Source: RNAcentral